This 161-nucleotide unclassified non-coding RNA is filed under the name soil metagenome. Its description in RNAcentral is "partial internal transcribed spacer 1". The record is from RNAcentral.
AAGAGACGUUGCCCUUCGGGGUAUACCUCCCACCCUUUGUUUAUUAUACCUUUGUUGCUUUGGCGGGCCCGUCCUCGGACCACCGGCUUCUGCUGGUCAGUGCCCGCCAGAGGAUCUAAAACUCUGUUUGUUAAUAUUGUCUGAGUACUAUAUAAUAGUUA